CCUGAAGGGCCGUCGAAGACUACGACGUUGAUAGGUUGGGUGUGUAAGCGCUGUGAGGCGUUGAGCUAACCAAUACUAAUUGCCCGUGAGGCUUGACCAUAUAACACCCAAGCAAUU
RNAcentral lists this ribosomal RNA (117 nucleotides) under Pseudomonas prosekii. Its description in RNAcentral is "partial 23S ribosomal RNA". The stretch from base 1 to 100 matches the Rfam family "Bacterial large subunit ribosomal RNA", at positions 2826 to 2925 of the family's 2925-position model. The record is from RNAcentral. RNAcentral also lists the same sequence under 1 other name. Lineage: Bacteria; Pseudomonadati; Pseudomonadota; Gammaproteobacteria; Pseudomonadales; Pseudomonadaceae.